CACAUUGAUCUUUGUUUUGAAGCGAUUCAUAAUUAGUAAUAUACUGAGUUGAGUUUUUCAGUUUGUGCUUAACUAACUCAAUUAGUAAAUGUAAAUGAAGAAUGGCGCACCCUGUAUUAAAAUGUAUCACUAAAAUAUUUCAAUUGGGAUUUCCUCGGAUAUAAAUAUGAUAGUUCUUAUCGCUUUGUGGUAAAGCAAGCAUACAUACAUACACAUAAAUAUUUGUGGGCAUAUGCUGCUUAUCAAUCGAAAUUUUGUGUAAUACAGUAGUCAUUGGGUAAGAAGAACCUUAACACAGGUCAUAGGAAUAAAAAAAAAAACAUUUCUAGUGCAAUUUAAUUAAAAAAAACACCGUAAAACGUUAACUUCGUGCGCCCUGAAUUGAGGUAAGUACUACUAUGAGCAAAAAAUAGUAAGACUUUUUGCUUUACAUUUCGCGUGAAAACCCAUUCGUCGAAAUAUUUUUUUCUAUGUUGGUAUGACUGUAAGUGACAUCUGUGCUAAAUGUCAUAUCAAAAUAAUCAGUAGUGUUCAGUGUACGUUUGUCUUUCUGAAGAACAUAAAGUGCAUUCGGCGUUCUUUAGGAUGAGUGAAAUUAUUCAACAAAGAAGUUCCAUUAAAUUAUGUGUGUGGAAUCAAAUUUCUAGUGCCGAAACGUUCAGAAUGUUGGAAAAGGCCUUCGAUGAUAAUUGUUUGUCUCGAGCAAGAGUUUUUGAUUGGUACAAAUUAUUCAAAGAGGGUCGAGAACGCGUUGACGACGAAUCACAUCCAGAACGGUCAUCGAUAUCAACUGAUGGUCAAUAAAAUAUAGGAAUUAGUGUUUGAGAAUCGACGACUAGCAAUCAUAAAUUUUACUGGCAUCGUUGGAAUAUCGGAAGGAUCAGUGAAAACCAUUUUGAAAGAUCAUUUGGACUUAAGAAAUGCUAAUGCACGAUUGAUUCCAAAAUCACAAAAUAUUUUCGAAAGAAAGUGUCGCGUUAAGGUCUGUGAAACAAUGCUUUCCGACUAUCAGGAUGUCAUGAAAUGUGUUAUUACUGGCGAUGAGUCUUAGAUCUAUGCUUACGACCCAGAAAGAGACGAUCGUCGGCCGAACAUCGUGGCAAAGGUGAACCAAAGUCGAAAAAAUCACAUCAAAGCAAAUCAAGUUGCCAGUGUUCUUCGACCAUCAAGGUACGGUGCACUCCAAAUUCCUUCUUAUAGACCAAACAGUCAACAAGGAAUAGUAUUUGAGUGUUACGCGAAGUUUAAGUGAAGCUAUUCGUAAAAAGAGAAUGAAAUUAUAGGCCAACAACUCUUGGUUCUUGCACUAUGAUAAUGUACCGCAUUGAUUCUUCGUGAGCUUUUUUGCCAAAUUUUCAACCAAUAUCGUGUCACAACCACCGUAUUCGUCUGAUUUAGCUCCGUAUGACUUCUGGCUAUUCAGAAACUCAAACGUUCGGUCCAAGGAAACGUUUUGACCUAAGUGAAAAUAUUAUGCGAGUAUCACCACGCACAUUGAAGGCUAUUCCGAAAAUUGACAUUGACAACUGUCGCUAGGAUUGAAAAAAAAACACGUUGACACAAGUGUAUUGGGGCCAGGGGUAAUCCCCCUUUUUGAGGAGGACGACAUAGAUUUUGAAGAAUAAAUUAAUAACUUUAAAAUUAUGAACAAAGUCUCAUUAUUUUAUGCUCAUAUAUUGUAGUAGUAUAAUCCGAGCCAAAUUUGAAGAAAAUAUCUUGGCAAGUAAAAAAUUUUUAUAUACAAAAACUUGAUUUUGAUCGUUUCAUCCACUCGUCACACUGAUCAUUCAUUGGUAUACCUUUUGGGGGACUCUCCCCAUCAAUUUCACGUUACAAACUGUAUGACAAACUUAGAACAAAAAUAUUUUUGUGGUUAUUAAUUACUGUUGUAUGAAAAAACUCACACGUCAUUCUUGUGGAAUUGCCAGAAAUGUAUCCAGAUGAGAGUCCAACACACAAGUAUGUAUUUAUUUUUAGGAACAUAUUAUACCUAAAAGCUGUAUGUGACAUUAUAAGUUCAUUUAUCAAGCCUUUGUAAUUUUCCGAUUUAUGGUGUCCUAGAAAAUUUAUGAAAACGUUCACAAAACAUUUCCGAAUGAGUUUUCUUGAACAUUUAGUUUGUCUUCAAAGCUCUUAUACUUUUGUAUACCUUGUUUGGGAAAUUCUAUUUCAGAUAUACAAUUUCAAUUAAAUUUUGUAUCUUCAUAAUAAUGUUUUUUAAAAACUGUGAUUUGCUUGGAUAUGUUAUCAAUUAAACGCAUAAGGGUGACUUAAGGAGUUAGGUUAGGUUGGGUUAUAGGCUAAUAUUCAUGACACCAAAAAUAAUCCCACUUGGACUGCCACUUACGCUUAUCCAUUGUGAUGUCCAGAACUCUUAAGUACAGAUUUGAAAGAUCGACGUAUAUCUACAAAGCGCAUAGAGCCAACCACAAAUUUAUUGAGCUGACUAAUAUCUACUCCAUCUAAUUUGCCGGUUGUUCCAACUUUAGUCUGGCGAAAGCUGGGCAGGGAAGGAGAAAUUGUUUAGAUAUUUCCACCUCAUUUUCCUUCCUUAGAUCCAACGCUCUUGUGUGCGCAAACAGGGGAACCCCUGAUCAUUCCUAUUUCAAGGGGAUUUGAAUCGGAAAUUUGAUUGUAUCGAGCUCAUCUGCUUUACAGUUUCCAAAUAUUCCGCUGUGGCACCCAGACAAGUUUAAUAUGGAAAUAGCUUGAUGACUUAACUAAAGAGGCCUUUGACUAGCUGGCAGCACGUAAGAAGACUGGUUAACAGGUCUCGAUAGAAGUCUAAAACCGAAGUAACUAACCUGAAUGCUACCCUAUGUGCGCUUAUAUAAUUACAUAUAUACACAGAGUUUAUGCUGAAGUCGAGGAGGCUUUCCCUUUAAAGCACGCCUUUGUUUAUUCAUUUCAAAUAUUGCUCACACAUCGCUCAAAAAAACUCGCUUUUAUGUAUGUGGUUUCAAUGAGACCUUCAAAUGUUCAAAUGGUGAUAAGCAGCUGCAGUUUAUUCGCAUGUAAACAACUCGUAGAAGUGGCGAGAAUUAGUCCAAUUUCAAAAAGGCGUCUGUGGAGAACGUUUUUCACACAGCAGUAGGGUAAUGUCAAUCAUUGGUACAGAAAUGGAUUUUGAGUCUAUAAUUUGGUUUACUCUACUGCUAACUUUAAUGGUGCUUGCAAUAUUCGCCUAUUGGUAUUGGUAUAUAUGGCGGCCAAAUGAAGUCGUACGCAAUGUGAUACGAAAAUCAACAGCGCAGUGUGAUGAUAACGAAGGAGUAUACAACGAAUUAUUGUGCGAUUGAAGUUUUUUUCAUUAAAGUUAAUAACUUAUAAGACAUAUUAGUAAGGCUUCUGACGAAAAAGCAUUUUCUUUUUUCACUUUAUGCUUUACCAUAUAAUAAAACAAAGAAAACAAGAAAAAUCGUUAACUUUAAUUGCACCAAAGCUACACAAUACCCUUUAAAAUACAAAAAAUUUCAAGCAAGCACUUGUUUCCGAUCAUCCAGCCCGAUGUAGGUGGUUCCGACAUAUGAACAGCUUCUUGGUUGGGGAAAGAGGGAUACAAAAUUUCAAAUCUAUAUCUGAAAAAUUGAAGGACUAAAUCGACUCAUCUCGUCAUGCUGUUCAUUUAGACAUAUUUUUUGUAGGGUCUGCGAAGUUUCUUUUUGGGUGUAAAAAACAUCGUGACAAACUUAAUAUACCCUGUUUAGGGUAUAAAAAACACUGAAGUUGCGAACGGCGAGCACAGCCUGCCUGCGAAUGAUAAAAACAUAAAUAAAUAAAAGUCUUAGUAAUUUUACUAAAAUAAUUAUUGCUCAUACAAAGCGCACAUAUGCUCACAAACAAUAAAAAAUAAAAAAAAUACGAUAUUACAAUAUUACGCCACGAGGCGCGAUAAGAAUUAGUGCAAAAUCAAUUUUAUUAAAUUAUUCAUAGUUCUAUGCCAAUGCUUGCCUCAGUUUUGCUUCAAUUUUCAUGCAGUGCGCAUGCCUUUCUCGUCACAAUUGCAAAAUCGUAAAAAAAAUGUUGGCGCUGCUCAAAAUUGGAAUUAUCACAUCUUUGCUGAUCAGUUGCACAUGGGUAAUGGUAACAGGCGAUGAACUGUACAACUCAAGAUGCGAGAAUAAUGUCUGUAACUGCAGCUUCGGUACUCAGGAAACAGUUUUGGGCGGCGUUAAGUACUGCCUUAGCAACUGCCCAAAUAACGCUGUUCGGUUAUCGUUUCGGAUAUGUGAAUGCCGGAAUGGAUAUCAGUACAUUGACGAGCAACGUACAAAGUGUGUGCGAACGAAUGGGCUUGCUGGGAAUCAGGAGAAUCGCGUCGAUGAAGUUGACGACACAUUAAGUGGUACGGCCGCCAGCACUACAUCAAGGAUAACUACCAACAAAGCGAGAAUUGCAGAUAUUAACACCACAGAGAACUCGUACGAUUAUAGGACGACCACUGAAACUAUUUCAACCAGUGUAGCUACUAAUACAACUAAUCGGGGAGAAUAUGUAAAUGUGAACAGUGUUGGUGAUAUUGAAGAUAUAUAUCUCUGGAUUGGUGCGCUAGUAAUGGCCUUGGUUUUGUUAGUGUUGAUCGCCUUUCUAUUUAUCUCACGCAAUUGAUUUGUGUUUGCAAAAUGUUAUUGUACACAAAAAUGCACUUUACAAUGUAAUUGUUAGCAAUAGUGAUUCUUCUCUUACUUAGUCCGCUCAACAAAGGAACUCAUAUACUUGAGCAAGAAGCGCCCCUUUUCCCCACCGUUCAUCUGAUUUGAGACCCUGUAUAAUACACACGCUCGCCACUGUACAUUGAUGCACUCAUAUCUUAUGUUUCUUAGAGACAAUUAAAAAUAAAAUAUAAUUCUAAGUAUAAGAAUUUGUAAAAAGGUUGCCAUUAAAUAAAUUCGUAUCUACUAAAAUUAUAAAAAUAAGAA
Bactrocera dorsalis (oriental fruit fly) is the source of this 4919-nucleotide long non-coding RNA. RefSeq lists it as uncharacterized. NCBI's taxonomy places the organism in Eukaryota, Metazoa, Arthropoda, Insecta, Diptera, Tephritidae. The record is from RefSeq and is a predicted model, not a curated record. The transcript has 2 exons.